Molecule: long non-coding RNA, 2056 nt
Filed under: Homo sapiens (human)
Lineage: Eukaryota; Metazoa; Chordata; Mammalia; Primates; Hominidae
Description: CCDC18 antisense RNA 1
Source: RNAcentral
ACGCCGGCGGGAGCCGCCCGUUCGCGCUGCCAGCAGCUUCCGCCUGCUACGGUCCUGGCAAGCACCUCGGGAUCCCAUUCCUUCACAGGGACCCUAGCCAGUUAAAGCUGAUACAUUCCUGUGGGUCAACUAUGCAACUAACUCAGAUUUUGAGCAAACAAAGCUCUCAAGUUGGUGAUCCUCAGGAGUCUCUGCAUUAGUUGGACAGCUCUUCUGGAAUUAUCUUCUAAGUCAACUGUGGGUUGGGUAGGUGGCUCUGCUGAUUUUUCGCUGGACUUCCACAUUUGGGACGAGUUGGCUGUCAUCAGCUCUAGAAAGGGUGUGGCCGUUUUACAUUGGCUGUUUUCCUCACAUUCCUCAAGCAGAAUUUCCUUUCAUCUCUGGUAAAAGUCAGCUCUCUAACUACUGCAUCUCACAGCUGAACAGAUAACUGAUACCGUGCUUCCAGAAGAUUUUUCUAACAGUGUUUGCAAGCUAUAAAAUAGUGCUUUCACUUAGAAAAGGCUAGACGUGGUGGUUCAUGCCUGUAAUCCCAGCACUUUGAGAGGCCGAGGCACCAUGCUGGGAGAUAAGGAUCCAACAUAAGACAAACAGUGCUGAUGCUUUUGGAAAGCUCAUAUUCAAGCUGGGGAGACAAACAACAUACAAGUGGCUGUAGCUACCUUCUGCAUAUGGAUAUCCAGUUUUCCCAGCACCACUUAUUAAAGAGACUGUCUUUUCUGCAGUGUAUAUUCUUGGCACCGUUGUUGAAAAUGAAUUCAUUGUAGGUGUGUGGGUUUGUUUCUGGGUUCUCUAUUCUGUUCAACUUGUCUAUGUGUCUGUUUUUAUGCCAGUACCGUGUCAUUUUAGUUACCAGAGCUCUGCAGUAUAAUUUGAAACCAGGUCAUGUGAUUCCUCCAGUUUUGUGGUAUUAGGAUAGGUUUGGCUAUUCUGAGUCUUUUGUGGUUCCAUAUAAAUUUUAGAAUUUUUUUUUUCUAUUUCUGUGAAGAAUGUCAUUGGUAUUUUGAUAGGGAUUGCGUUGAAUCUGUAGAUUGCUUUGGGUAGUAUGGACAUUUUAACAAUAUUCAUUCUUCUAAUCCAUGAACAUGGAAUACCUUUCCAUUUUUUGGUGUCCAUUUCAAUUUCUUUCAUCAGUCUUAUACUUUUCAUUAUAGAGAUCUUUCACUUCUUGGAUUAACUCCUAUGUAUUUAAUUUUACUUGUAGCUAUUGUAAAUGGGAUUACUUUUUUUUUUUUUUUUGACGGAGUUUCACCCUUGGCAUCCAGGCUAGUGUGCAAUGGCGCAACCUCAGCUCACUGCAACCUCCACCUCCCAGGUUCAAGCAAUUCUCCUGCCUCAGCCUCCUGAGUAGCUGGAAUUACAGGUGCCCGCCACCACACCCGGCUAAUUUUUGUAUUUUUAGUAGAGACAGGGUUUCACCACGUUGGUCAGGCUGGUCUUGAACUCCUGACCUCAGAUGAUCUGCCCACCUCGACCUCCCAAAGUGCUGGGAUUACAGGCAUGAGCCACCACUUCCAGCAAGGGAUUACUUUUUUAAUCUCUUUUUCAGAUUUUUCACUGUUGGCAUAUAGAAAUCCUACUAAUUUUUGUAUGUUGAUUUUGUAUCCUGGAACUUUACUGAAUCUGUUUAUAAUUUGUGUAUUUGUUUAUAGUAGUUUUUUGGUGGACUCUUUCAGUUUUUCCAAAUAUAAGAUCAUAUCAUUGGCAAACAAGGACAGUUUGAUUUCUUCUAUUCCAAUUUGGAUGCCUUUAUUUCUUUCUGUUGUCUGAUUGCUCUAGUUAGGACUUCCAGUACUAUGUUGAAUAACAGUGAUGAAAGUGGGCAUCCUUGCCAUGUUCCAGAUCUUAGAAAAGAGGCUUUCAGUUUUUCACCAUUCAGUUUGAUACUAGCUGUGGCAGCUUCCAUGAGAAUCACGCAGUUUGAAGAAGCAUUUCACUGAAAAAUAGGGAUUGCUGUUCUGGAAAGACAAAACAAUUGUCUACAAUUCUAAAGAAGAAGUGAACACAAUAAUUAAAUCAAUGUUAUUCUGGGUCUAAAGCUUAUAUUCUUAAUUAC